RNAcentral lists this ribosomal RNA (484 nucleotides) under uncultured bacterium. RNAcentral's name for it is "partial 16S ribosomal RNA". It matches the Rfam family "Bacterial small subunit ribosomal RNA", at positions 30 to 507 of the family's 1533-position model. The record is from RNAcentral.
AUUGAACGCUGGCGGCAGGCCUAACACAUGCAAGUCGAGCGGAUGAAAGGAGCUUGCUCCUGGAUUCAGCGGCGGACGGGUGAGUAAUGCCUAGGAAUCUGCCUGGUAGUGGGGGAUAACGUCCGGAAACGGGCGCUAAUACCGCAUACGUCCUGAGGGAGAAGGUGGGGGAUCUUCGGACCUCACGCUAUCAGAUGAGCCUAGGUCGGAUUAGCUAGUUGGUGGGGUAAAGGCCUACCAAGGCGACGAUCCGUAACUGGUCUGAGAGGAUGAUCAGUCACACUGGAACUGAGACACGGUCCAGACUCCUACGGGAGGCAGCAGUGGGGAAUAUUGGACAAUGGGCGAAAGCCUGAUCCAGCCAUGCCGCGUGUGUGAAGAAGGUCUUCGGAUUGUAAAGCACUUUAAGUUGGGAGGAAGGGCAGUAAGUUAAUACCUUGCUGUUUUGACGUUACCAACAGAAUAAGCACCGGCUAACUUCGUG